UACGAGGGGGGCGAGCGUUGUUCGGAAUUACUGGGCGUAAAGGGCUCGUAGGCGGCCAACUAAGUCAGACGUGAAAUCCCUCAGCUUAACUCCGAAACUGCAUUCGAUACUGGCGUGCUUGAGGACUGGAGAGGAGACUGGAAUUCAUGGUGUAGCAGUGAAAUGCGUAGAUAUCGGGAGGAACACCUGAGGCGAAGGCGGGCUACUGGGCCGAUACUGACGCUGAGGCGCGAAAGCCAGGGGAGCAAACGGG
Molecule: ribosomal RNA, 253 nt
Filed under: uncultured bacterium
Lineage: Bacteria
Description: partial 16S ribosomal RNA
Rfam family: Bacterial small subunit ribosomal RNA
Source: RNAcentral